RNAcentral lists this ribosomal RNA (253 nucleotides) under uncultured bacterium. Its description in RNAcentral is "partial 16S ribosomal RNA". It matches the Rfam family "Bacterial small subunit ribosomal RNA", at positions 524 to 776 of the family's 1533-position model. The record is from RNAcentral.
UACAGAGGUCUCGAGCGUUAGGCGGAAUCACUGGGCUUAAAGCGUGUGUAGGUGGAUGCCUAAGUACCUUGUGAAAUCCCACAGCUUAACUGUGGAACUGCUUGGUAUACUGGGUGUCUUGAGUCACUCAGGGGCGAGCGGAACAAAUGGUGGAGCGGUGAAAUGCGUAGAUAUCAUUUGGAACGCCAAUGGUGAAAACAGGUAGCUGGGGCUGUGCUGACACUGAGACACGAAAGCCAGGGGAGCGAACGGG